RNAcentral lists this ribosomal RNA (229 nucleotides) under uncultured bacterium. RNAcentral's name for it is "partial 16S ribosomal RNA". It matches the Rfam family "Bacterial small subunit ribosomal RNA", at positions 568 to 796 of the family's 1533-position model. The record is from RNAcentral.
UCCGUAGGCGGGCGUCUAAGUCAGUGGUGAAAUCUUACAGCUCAACUGUAAAAUUGCCAUUGAUACUGGAUGUCUUGAAUUAGUGUGAAGUGGUUAGAAUGUGUAAUGUAGCGGUGAAAUGCAUAGAUAUUACACAGAAUACCAAUUGCGAAGGCAGAUCACUAACACUAUAUUGACGCUGAGGGACGAAAGCGUGGGGAGCGAACAGGAUUAGAUACCCUGGUAGUCC